RNAcentral lists this long non-coding RNA (199 nucleotides) under Gossypium raimondii (Peruvian cotton). Its description in RNAcentral is "long non-coding RNA (GRAI_LNC006324)". Lineage: Eukaryota; Viridiplantae; Streptophyta; Magnoliopsida; Malvales; Malvaceae. The record is from RNAcentral.
UGAAUGUAAAAGAUGCAGAAAAAGAAUGACCUGAAUGGCCAGUUUUAGUUUCGGCACUAGAGAAAAAGGAAGAAAAAAAUACAAAACCCCAAAUGAUAGAGAGAAAAUUCGACAGCUAUACACUUACUAGUUGCCGAAAUGCAUACUCCAAAGUCCCCCUUAGCAGAUCCGGCAAGAAACUUCUACAACUCAAACUCCC